This 1572-nucleotide long non-coding RNA is filed under the name Gallus gallus (chicken). RNAcentral's name for it is "lncRNA (ENSGALG00010009496.1)". The record is from RNAcentral. Lineage: Eukaryota; Metazoa; Chordata; Aves; Galliformes; Phasianidae.
AUCUCUUUCAGGAGAUUACUCCUCUUGGAGUUUUUUCUCUGAGCCUAUGACACAGCAAUUGCUAUUUUGACAACGUAACUGUAUUCCUCUAUUUACUUGAGUAUGCAUGAAGUAUAAUGCAAAGAGAUGACAACACAGGGCUUAACUGUAGCUGUGAACGUCUAUUCAAAUGGAAAAAAAAGAUACCCCUGUGAACCACAGCUAGACAGGAAAAAAAAGCCACAGGAAAGCUGGGCACAACAAGAAGCAGAGCAUGGCACAGAGACUGCCAACACAGCACGUGCCCAAGGUGAGUACUUGUAACCACACAUCCCAAAAGCAAGACACAGCCUACACUAGUAAGCAUCAGAAGCAAAUUAAAGCCAGUCCAGAUUACUCUGACUAGAAUAUGUGGCAUUAAUGCUUAAUUAUCAGUGUAUCUCCCCUGAGGUAGCCUUAAUGGGAUAUACCUCAGUCAACCCAUCAUCAUACGAGACAGUUCUCAAGAGGCACAGCACACCUCACAACGUCUGGAAACGAGACAGGUUAUUAAUGAGAUUUGUUCCUACAGAGCUAUUGUCUUAGCCACCAAUUAUUCCAAAGUGGGUGGUCUGGCAAAAAAAAAAAAAAGUGUCAAAAAAGCACCUAUAACAACGGAUCGCCCCAGUACCUGUCCUGGCUUACAAGUUACAGGAAAGCACCAAUGAAGAAGUGCAUGCUGAUGCUAGAGAGAGAUGUCCUAAGGACUUUUCUGGCCAGCCUCAAGUCACAGAUGUUCUUUACAGAGUCAAAGUUACUCACAGAGUUCUCUAAAAGCACUUAGCUGGCAAGUGGGAAAAUGAGAAAACCUGACUUCAUAGCAAAGAAUGCACAAAGUGCCUGAAUCUGGCUAAGGUGGAGUGAACCAGACUAUGAUGCUCCAAAUCCACACAUAGAAGGGAAUGAAAAGCAAGGGCUGGCCACGUGGGGCAGGUGUAAUUAAGCAGAGCACCUCGGAGCUUAUGGAAAAAUGAUUGAUGGCGUACAGAAAUGAGGAAGAAAACAACAGAACAGGAGGUCCUGGCAGUAAUAGCAGGGCACAGCAUUAGGACCAAGAAUCACAAGAACCUGGACUCUCUUGACAGCACAAAACAUCUGACCAACCCACUUAACAACACCUUUGCUUGGAGUUAAUUUAGGUCAGCUGGACAGAGCCUUCUUUGCACAUGGAAGUGUUGUGUUAAGCCAGAAUAGCUACUCACCCCAGCUGUAGGGCAUCCUUUGCCAUCUUCCAAGAAUCACAAGUGAAUGGCAUAGAAGUAUUUCCUUAAUUAGUUUGCCCAAACCAACUGGUAAGGGGCAGCAAUCUUCAGUCGCUGUGGGACACUACCUGCUGACAGCUUUUUCCAGCUGAAGUCAUGAAUGUCUGCAUUUUUAGGAAGGGCAUGCAGUAAGCCAAGAGCACCAGACCUGUCACAUGUGUGAUGGCAGGAGUAUGCAUUGACAAAAAAAUUGAUUAAAACUAUCUCAAAUUUCAGGGUAUUUUAUUAAGCUGUUAUAAAAUAUGCAGAAUAGAGCGCAGUAUGAGAUACAAGCUGUAAAUAACUAUGGCAG